Microplitis mediator is the source of this 391-nucleotide long non-coding RNA. RefSeq lists it as uncharacterized. The transcript has 2 exons. The record is from RefSeq and is a predicted model, not a curated record. NCBI's taxonomy places the organism in Eukaryota, Metazoa, Arthropoda, Insecta, Hymenoptera, Braconidae.
AAUAAUAAUUGCAUAUAUAUUUUUAAUUAUACCUCUGUACUAUUGUAAUUACUGUAAUAUUUAAAUUGAAUAAUUGUUUUAUUUUUCCGCUUCAGGAUAUAAAAUAAAAAAAUGUCGAAAAUAAUUUUAUUAUUAUCACUUUUCGUAUUGAUUGGUCUCCAUGUUAAUGCAGCUGCAGGCUGUAAAGGCAAGUGGUGCCAUCCAUCACAAGGAUACAACUGUUGUGCAGGACAUUCAUGCAGUUCGUAUGCUUGGCAAGGUACAUGCCAACAUGAGGAUCAACGUGAAAUAGAUAGUAUGAAGAUGGCACCGGGAAAAUAAUCAUAACAUACAGUGAAGAUUAAUAAAUGCAUUGUAUCAAUUAAUAAAAAUCUUUUGUUGACAAACAAAA